GAUGAACGCUGGCGGCGUGCCUAAUACAUGCAAGUCGAGCGAACAGAUGAGGAGCUUGCUCCUCUGACGUUAGCGGCGGACGGGUGAGUAACACGUGGAUAACCCACCUAUAAGACUGGGAUCACUUCGGGAAACCGGAUCUAAUACCGGAUAAUAUAUUGAACCGCAUGGGUCAAUAGUGAAAGACGGUUUUGCUGUCACUUAUCGAUGUAUCCGCGCCCCAUUAGCUAGUUGGUAAGGUCACGGCUUUCCAAGGCAACGAUGCGUAGCCGACCUGAGGGGGUGGUCGGCCACACUGGAACGUAGACACGGUCCAUACUCCUAAGGGACGACGCAGACGGGAACCUUCGGCAAUGGGCGAAAGCCUGACGGAGCAACGCCGCGUGAGUGAUGACGAUCUUCGGAUCGUAAAACUCUGUUAUUAGGUAAGAACAAAUGUGUAAGUAACUAUGCACGUCUUGACGGUACCUAAUAAGAAAGCCACGGCUAACUACGUG
RNAcentral lists this ribosomal RNA (497 nucleotides) under uncultured bacterium. RNAcentral's name for it is "partial 16S ribosomal RNA". It matches the Rfam family "Bacterial small subunit ribosomal RNA", at positions 28 to 507 of the family's 1533-position model. The record is from RNAcentral.